CCUACGGGAGGCAGCAGUGAGGAAUAUUGGUCAAUGGGCGCAAGCCUGAACCAGCCAAGUAGCGUGAAGGAUGACUGCCCUACGGGUUGUAAACUUCUUUUAUGAAGGGAUAAAAUGAGGCACGUGUGCCUUUUUGUAUGUACUUUAUGAAUAAGGAUCGGCUAACUCCGUGCCAGCAGCCGCGGUAAUACGGAGGAUCCGAGCGUUAUCCGGAUUUAUUGGGUUUAAAGGGAGCGUAGAUGGGGUGUUAAGUCAGUUGUGAAAGUUUGCGGCUCAACCGUAGAAUUGCAAUGGAUACUGGCAGCCUUGAGUACAGUUGAGGUAGGCGGAAUUCGUGGUGUAGCGGUGAAAUGCUUAGAUAUCACGAAGAACUCCGAUUGCGAAGGCAGCUUACGAAACUGUCACUGACAUUGAUGCUCGAAAGUGUGGGUAUCAAACAGGAUUAGAUACCCGGGUAGUC
RNAcentral lists this ribosomal RNA (460 nucleotides) under uncultured bacterium. RNAcentral describes it as "partial 16S ribosomal RNA". It matches the Rfam family "Bacterial small subunit ribosomal RNA", at positions 338 to 795 of the family's 1533-position model. The record is from RNAcentral.